UUAGAGUUUGAUCCUGGCUCAGGAUGAACGCUAGCGGCAGGCCUAAUACAUGCAAGUCGAGGGGCAGCAGGAGUAGCAAUACUCGCUGGCGACCGGCGCACGGGUGCGUAACACGUAUACAAUCUGCCUUUAACGGGGGGAUAGCCCGGAGAAAUCCGGAUUAAUACCCCAUAAUAUAUUUGUCGGCAUCGAUAUAUUUUGAAAGCUCCGGCGGUUAAAGAUGAGUAUGCGUCUGAUUAGCUAGUUGGUGAGGUAACGGCUCACCAAGGCGACGAUCAGUAGGGGAUCUGAGAGGAUUACCCCCCACGCGGAUACUGAGACACGGAUCCGACUCCUACGGGAGGCAGCAGUAAGGAAUAUUGGACAAUGCCCGCAAGGGUGAUCCAGCCAUGCCGCGUGCAGGAAGACGCCCCUAUGGGUUGUAAACUGCUUUUACACCGGAGAACACCCCACUACGUGUAGUGGGCUGAUAGUAUGGUGAGAAUAAGCAUCGGCUAUCUUCGUGCCAGCAGCCGCGGUAAGACGAAGGAUGCAAGCGUUAUCCGGAUUCAUUGGGUUUAAAGGGGAGCGUAGGUGGUCUUAUA
Molecule: ribosomal RNA, 584 nt
Filed under: uncultured bacterium
Lineage: Bacteria
Description: bacterial SSU rRNA
Rfam family: Bacterial small subunit ribosomal RNA
Source: RNAcentral